This 506-nucleotide ribosomal RNA is filed under the name uncultured bacterium. RNAcentral describes it as "partial 16S ribosomal RNA". It matches the Rfam family "Bacterial small subunit ribosomal RNA", at positions 28 to 523 of the family's 1533-position model. The record is from RNAcentral.
GAUGAACGCUAGCUACAGGCUUAACACAUGCAAGUCGAGGGGUAACAAGGGGAAAGCUUGCUUUCCUUGUUGACGACCGGCGCACGGGUGAGUAACGCGUAUCCAACCUGCCUAUAACUAGGGAAUAACCUUGCGAAAGUAAGACUAAUACCCUAUGAUUUCCUUUGAUGACAUCAGAUUAGGAAUAAAGAUUUAUCGGUUAUAGAUGGGGAUGCGUCUGAUUAGCUUGUUGGCGGGGUAACGGCCCACCAAGGCAACGAUCAGUAGGGGUUCUGAGCGGAAGGGCCCCCACAUUGGAACUGAGACACGGUCCAAACUCCUACGGGAGGCAGCAGUGAGGAAUAUUGGGCAAUGGGCGGAAGCCUGAACCAGCCGAGUAGCGUGCAGGAUGGCGGCCCUAUGGGUUGUAAACUGCUUUUAUACAGGAAUAAAGUUAGCCACGUGUGGUUAUUUGUAGGUACUGUAUGAAUAAGGACCGGCUAAUUCCGUGCCAGCCGCCGCCGUAA